Bradyrhizobium erythrophlei is the source of this 103-nucleotide non-coding RNA. The record is from Rfam. Lineage: Bacteria; Pseudomonadati; Pseudomonadota; Alphaproteobacteria; Hyphomicrobiales; Nitrobacteraceae.
GGGAGCGGUAAUCCCUCCCCAUCGGCUAUAUUCGGCGCGAGCGCCCAUCCACCCCAAGCGCCCCAUAUGGCUUGACCCGUCCGGUUGUCCCCCCGGACGGGUC